RNAcentral lists this ribosomal RNA (253 nucleotides) under uncultured bacterium. RNAcentral describes it as "partial 16S ribosomal RNA". It matches the Rfam family "Bacterial small subunit ribosomal RNA", at positions 524 to 776 of the family's 1533-position model. The record is from RNAcentral.
UACGUAGGGUGCAAGCGUUAAUCGGAAUUACUGGGCGUAAAGCGCGUGUAGGCGGCAGGGCAUGUCGGAUGUGAAAUCCCGUGGCUCAACCACGGAAGUGCACCCGAAACUGCCCAGCUUGAGUCUCGGAGAGGAAGGCGGAAUGCUUGGUGUAGAGGUGAAAUUCGUAGAUAUCAAGCGGAACACCGGUGGCGAAGGCGGCCUUCUGGACGAUGACUGACGCUGAGACGCGAAAGCGUGGGGAGCAAACAGG